Molecule: non-coding RNA, 388 nt
Organism: Cinara cedri
Lineage: Eukaryota; Metazoa; Arthropoda; Insecta; Hemiptera; Aphididae
Source: the annotation of a GenBank genome assembly
AAAUAGUAAUAGUAAUAAGCAAUUCAAUUGGACUCCGUUAUAAUAAGUUAAUUAUUAUUAUUUUGAGGUGACACGACCCGAACAAAAUGUACGAGUAGAUUAUAUUUUUGUAAAGACGAAAAAUGAUGAACGUUUGAAAAGCAUACGUUGAUUGUUAAACCCGUGUAUUUUGCUAUGAUAUUAGAUAAUUUACCGAAACGCGCACGAGUGUUCUCUGCAAUAUUCGAUUAAGAUAAUAUGUAAUGGAGAAACAAGAGAUGGGGUUGAUAAUUUCACAAUGUCAUUUAAAAUAACAUUAAGGUGUGAAAACAAAAUACAUUUAAACGUGAAUAAACAUGCAUAGUCUAAAAAUAUAAUAUAUAUUUUUACAGGGACAACAGAAAGGACG